RNAcentral lists this long non-coding RNA (278 nucleotides) under Fragaria vesca (wild strawberry). Its description in RNAcentral is "long non-coding RNA (FVES_LNC000812)". Lineage: Eukaryota; Viridiplantae; Streptophyta; Magnoliopsida; Rosales; Rosaceae. The record is from RNAcentral.
GGGCUUCUUCGUCGGAUGAGGGCUUUCCACCUCGUCGUCGCCGGACAUGAAGAAGUUUCGCGACAAAGGCUCCGGGAAGGCCGGUAAGUUCAGAUCAAACGAUUCACGGUGUUGUUGGCUGACGGUGUGAGUGGUUGACCCCACUCCCUCCGAGGUGGUCACGGCGCUGGUGGUGGUGGUUGCGGCGGACUUGGUGGCGGUGACGCCGCCCUCGUAGUGGCAACGCUUGUGCCCUCCCAAGGCCUGGCCGGUGGGGAAAGACUUGUGGCAGAUGGAGC